This 28-nucleotide non-coding RNA is filed under the name Mus musculus (house mouse). The record is from RNAcentral. RNAcentral also lists the same sequence under 1 other name. Lineage: Eukaryota; Metazoa; Chordata; Mammalia; Rodentia; Muridae.
UCAGAAGAAGUGGGAGCUGCAUAGAAGC